Molecule: long non-coding RNA, 2716 nt
Organism: Macaca mulatta (Rhesus monkey)
Lineage: Eukaryota; Metazoa; Chordata; Mammalia; Primates; Cercopithecidae
Source: Ensembl
UUCUAAGUUUAACUACCAGUUUGCUGAGGCAACACUAAUUAGACAUAUGAAAAAGCAAGUGUUCUUAAUAAUCAGGUCUCCAUGGAUAAUGUAGGGGGUCAAGGAAUCCUCUGACAUUGCAUACGAAAUCUUAAAUUUAUGCAUAUGAUUUUACUAAGAAGAAAGUCCAAAGCUUUUAUCAUAUUCUCAAAGAAGUCUUUGAACAAAAACAGGUUAAAAGCCUCUAUUGGUUCAUUAUCCUGCAAAAUUCUGUGUGGCAAAUCACUUCAAAAGUCAGUGGCUUAAACCACCCUCAUUUAUUCUCACUCAAAUGCUUGUGUACAGUGAGUAAUUCUGCUGAUCUCCGCUGGUCUUGGCUGAACUCUUCUCCAGGACAUGGAUUCGGGUCAGAUCUCUCCUGUGUCACUCAUCCUUCUGGGUCUAGUAAGCCACUUGAGGAUUAAAACUCAUCUGUGGAAUCAAGACUUCCCUGUAAUCACAUCCAACCAGACUUCAAUCAAAACUCAGGCAUAUGAAAGCCUCUUAGUUUCAGAUGUAUUUAAAAAACAUUUCCUUUCACUCUCUGAAUCUUCUUGAAGAAUAAACUUUGUGUCUUUUUGAAAUUAUCUCCUCUUGCAGUUUUCAAUCUUUUCCUCUCACCAGGGCAAAGACUGAAGCAAUCUGUAAUUAAUGUCUUGAAAAAUAUUUAGGUGGAUUUAAUAAAGAGACCCAAACAGUAAAAAGCUCCACAUACCUACAUGUUUUCUUUAAUUGAAGAAAUGCUAGAGAAUUCUGGAAAAAUUGCUAAAAUCCCAUGGCAGUUCCAUACUGACCUAUUAAAGGAUAUGAAGGUCUGUGUGUCAGUCUUUCAGUGGCUCUCCUAAUGGUAUAAAGAUGAUCAGUAAUUAAUCUUGGAUGUUUAAGGUAUGUUUUUAUUUGUUAACCAAGGGACUUACCUACAUGACCUCUUUGCAUCUCUUCCAAUUUAGACCCAACCAGUUGACUUAAUUAAAUAGGAUUUUCUUUCUCCUUCAAAGUUAUCUGUGUUUAGGGAGAAAGAAUGUAAGUGUAUCUCUGUGUAUCGAUUUCUUUCCUUGUAGUGUGUGUGAAGGAGAAACAUCUUGCAAGAUCUUUCCCUUGGCAUAGGAAUAAGUAGACAAUCUAAUUUUAAAGACGCCAAAGCAUAGGGGAAUUAAUAUGCAACGCUGGCAUGCAUUUGAAUCCUGAUUUCAUGACUUACUAUGUGACCUUGGGUUAGUGGGUGAGCUGGUUUAACCUCAAUUUCCUUCAAACGUUUUUAUGGGGAUUAUGGAAAAUCAUGUAUGUAUGGUCUUCAACUCAAUUCCUGCCACAAAGUAAGCACUGAAAAACAUGGUUUAAUGAGAAAUUGCUGCAUCUACUAUCUCUGUUUGUAUAUUCACAAAUAAGAGGUGAUAUGGGCUGCAAAAUGAGUGAAAUACUGAUUUAGCUUUAUUGAUGAAAAACACAUUUGAAUGAACUAUGCAUAAAGGCUUAUUCUACCUUCUGGUGACAUGGGGCACUCCUAUUAAAUCACAUUUUAAUGAAACACAUCCUCAAAGCAGCUUAUCAGUAUAUGCUUGUUACUGGGGUCUAACUAAAGUAUAGGAACACAUAAUCAAAGGGUAGUCAGAGUCAAGGGUGUUUGUUUUCAAAGAUCUAGAAGGGGAAAACUUAAAAUCAGAUUUUAAAUAGGUGGAAAGAAACAAGGCGGCAUACAUCUCUUUAUUACUGAUCUUUUAUUUACCUUUUAUUUAGUAGGCCCUGUCCUGGGUGCACUGAGGAAAUCAAAGGUGAAAAGACAGGGUGUCUGAGCAAGCAGGACUCUGUCCUAAUGCAUGUUUGCACCCACAGCUUUGGGCUUUGCAAAGAAUGCCUGAAAAUCUACCCUCUCCUGGUAGUGGGAGGUUUUGGCAGGGCGGGGGCAGGAGAAUAAAAAAUGAUGCUGAUGAUGUGGGUGGAAACAUUUGGGGAAACAUUUCAAAGGCCAUUCUGAGGAAUUUGUGAAAAAAAUGAGUAGUAAAAAUAAGAGGGAACCAUAACAGGUUCUUAAUUUUUUUUUUUUUUUUGUAAGAAGGAACGGAAUGAUACAAAUGAUACUGGAGGAUGCUUACUUCAGCAAAUAUAAAAGCAGUUGACUAGAUAGGGGAGAGAAUGGGGUUAUGUGGAUAUUUCUAUCUAUAUCAGAAACAACUUCAUGUUAAUUAUACACCUGUUGUAGGUAGCACAGUUAUUCUCUCCAUUUGUGGAGAUGGGACAGUUAAUUGUAGCAGUGAAUGAGACAUAGAAGAAUCGCCACAUCACAAGAGUCACUAUCAAAGUUGUUUUUAAAAAUCCUGUGAACAUUUUCCCAAUAUCUGAAUUUAUCAUGGAUUAUCUUUCUUCCCUUCAAUUCUUACUUUAGUGGAAAGACAUUUAAAAAGGGAAUAAUUAGGACCCUAGCUCCAAGGAAAAGAUAUCUAGUCAACGUACCUAUUUCUAGAACAGGUCUCGGUCACAGCUAAUCAGAGAAGCUAAUAUCUACAUAUCUUAGGACCUUAAAAUGAUGUUUACUUUGUAGACAUAGAGAUUGGGUGGGAGAGAAAAAUGAUUUACUAUUAUUCAAAGACAUACUAGAUUUGAUAUUUUCCAGUGACUUUCUCAGAAAGAUAUAAAAAGUGUUUUAGUUUUUACAUUUUGAAGUGGUAUUUGUAAUAGUAUAUGAAAUGCUAUUUAUAAU